CCUACGGGGUGCUGCAGUGAGGAAUAUUGGUCAAUGGACGGAAGGCUGAACCAGCCAAGCCGCGUGAAGGAUGACGGUGCCAUGCAUUGUAAACUUCUUUUGUCAAGGGAUAAAACCAGGCUCGUGUGCCUGUUUGCGGGUACUUUAUGAAUAAGGAUCGGCUAACUCCGUGCCAGCAGCCGCGGUAAUACGGAGGAUGCGAGCGUUAUCCGGAUUUAUUGGGUUUAAAGGGUGCGUAGGCGGACGCUAAAGUCAGCGGUAAAAGCGCGGGGCUCAACCCCGGCGAGCCGUUGAAACUGGUUGUCUUGAGAGGUCGAAGGGUAGGCGGAAUGCGCGGUGUAGCGGUGAAAUGCUUAGAUAUUGCGCAGAACUCCGAUUGCGAAGGCAGCAUACCGGCGGCGAUCUGACGCUGAGGCACGAAAGCGUGGGUAUCGAACAGGAUUAGAUACCCUUGUAGUC
This 459-nucleotide ribosomal RNA is filed under the name uncultured bacterium. RNAcentral's name for it is "partial 16S ribosomal RNA". It matches the Rfam family "Bacterial small subunit ribosomal RNA", at positions 338 to 795 of the family's 1533-position model. The record is from RNAcentral.